GAGCCAGAAUGCCGCAGAGCCAGCUGCAUCGCUAGUUUGCAAGAAAAUCAAAGCCGUGGAUGCCCCAGAUGUGCCAACAGUUCUCAAUGAGAAAGAGGUGUGCUAACAGAAAUUGUACCUGAGUAUAAUAAUAAAAAUACUACAUUUAGGUGACACUGUAUAUUUUAUACACAUAUUUGUGAGAAAA
Schistocerca americana (American grasshopper) is the source of this 187-nucleotide long non-coding RNA. RefSeq lists it as uncharacterized. The transcript is spliced from 2 exons. NCBI's taxonomy places the organism in Eukaryota, Metazoa, Arthropoda, Insecta, Orthoptera, Acrididae. The record is from RefSeq and is a predicted model, not a curated record.